RNAcentral lists this ribosomal RNA (491 nucleotides) under uncultured bacterium. Its description in RNAcentral is "partial 16S ribosomal RNA". It matches the Rfam family "Bacterial small subunit ribosomal RNA", at positions 29 to 507 of the family's 1533-position model. The record is from RNAcentral.
GUGCACGCUGGCGGUAGGCCUAACACAUGCAAGUCGAACGGCAGCACCGUAAGAGCUUGCUCUUACGGGUGGCGAGUGGCGGACGGGUGAGGAAUACAUCGGAAUCUACUUUUUCGUGGGGGAUAACGUAGGGAAACUUACGCUAAUACCGCAUACGACCUACGGGAGAAAGCAGGGGAUCUUCGGACCUUGCGCGAUUGAAUGAGCCGAUGUCGGAUUAGCUAGUUGGCGGGGUAAAGGCCCACCAAGGCGACGAUCCGUAGCUGGUCUGAGAGGAUGAUCAGCCACACUGGAACUGAGACACGGUCCAGACUCCUACGGGAGGCAGCAGUGGGGAAUAUUGGACAAUGGGCGCAAGCCUGAUCCAGCCAUACCGCGUGGGUGAAGAAGGCCUUCGGGUUGUAAAGCCCUUUUGUUGGGAAAGAAAAGCAGCAGGUUAAUACCCCGCUGUUCUGACGGUACCCAAAGAAUAAGCACCGGCUAACUUCGUG